UACGUAGGGUGCAAGCGUUAAUCGGAAUUACUGGGCGUAAAGCGUGCGCAGGCGGUUAUGUAAGACAGUUGUGAAAUCCCCGGGCUCAACCUGGGAACUGCAUCUGUGACUGCAUAGCUAGAGUACGGUAGAGGGGGAUGGAAUUCCGCGUGUAGCAGUGAAAUGCGUAGAUAUGCGGAGGAACACCGAUGGCGAAGGCAAUCCCCUGGACCUGUACUGACGCUGAGGCGCGAAAGCGUGGGGAGCAAACGGG
RNAcentral lists this ribosomal RNA (253 nucleotides) under uncultured bacterium. RNAcentral's name for it is "partial 16S ribosomal RNA". It matches the Rfam family "Bacterial small subunit ribosomal RNA", at positions 524 to 776 of the family's 1533-position model. The record is from RNAcentral.